GCCAAGCACACCUACAUCUCCUUAUAUAUAUAUAUAUAUGUAUGUAUAUAUAAUUUUUUUUUUUGUAAGAGAUGUCAAGUUUAAUGAGAUUUGUGGGGUUCUCAAUGUCAUUCACAACUCCUUCUGCCCAGUUGCGUGGCUGUUGUCUCAGGAGAUCCCUUUCUUCUUGCUUAUCUCUUUGGACUUGAGGUCACCGACAACCAGAGGAAGAAACCCUGGGGUGCCUGCAUGCAAAUCCCUCUGUUCAGCUCAUUGCUUCAGUGAUAGAUGGAUCCUGGAUGGUGCACAUACCCAUUUUGCACGCUUAUCACAGGACAAGGGAGAGAAGCUUGCGCCUCCUACUCUCCAUUUUACCUGGGAUGGGACCAGUGUGCUUUCUAAAGGAGAAGCAGCCUGCCCUUCUGCUGUGGGCAUGAGAAGGGUGAUGAAGAAGGGAAAAUUAGGGGAAAACAGCUUUCCUUCAGCAGCAUCUCCCUUGCAAAUGCUCCUUGCCCCACAUCCAGAAGUUUGCCAGAGCUGGUUCCAGGUCUGCUCCCAGAAAUGCUUCUUCACCAGUGCUGGUGUGGGGACAAGAAGGAGUCCAAACUGACUGCUUGAGGAGGAAGGUCCAAAGCGAAGAUAAAGCUGAUUUCCUCCCCUGGCGGCAGCAGCGGAUGCAGAGAACAAUAGGUACGGUGACUGCUCAGGGGACAACUCCUGCUCCCCUGUGCUGUGCCCAGCCCUCAGCUGGGGAUGGAGGGACCCACCCGAGGGGAAAGCCAGCUCCAGAGGAGUGGUUUGGAAAGGAACAUUGCAAAAAUUCAUGGAAAGCUGUGAUUGAGCGAAGAAUGAGGUCGCGCAGCCGUUCCAGGAAAGGUGCAGCAAGAUAUGUGUUUACUGCAGAAAUUCUAUGGAAUGGGUAAAAAUAAAAGAAUCUCACUUCUGGGAAGGUGCAGGAGGUCAGAAGAACCUGAGAGCAAGCAGUCACAGAGCUGUGACCUGUCCCAGGAGCCCCUUUUUGGUGCCUGAUCACUGAUGUGAGGCUGCUUAUUGCAAAACCUGCAGCGGGACGUAUCCAGUUAUCACUGUCUCUGGGUAAUGUAGAUAAAAUGUUUGCUUUUUUAUUUUUACCUCAGUAAGUCCUUAAUCCUCCCAACGUGGGCUGACUGCAUCUGGUUGCUCGUCAGCAUCCACUCUGGGCCACCACAGCCUCAGGAUCUAUUUGGGAUUCCACACCUCCCCAAAAGCUGUUCUCCAGUUUGGCUGGUGCAGUUAUCCAUCCCAAAUGCGGCUCUUUACUUCUCCAGGUUUGGUCUAGCUCCUUCCAAAUGAUCACUGUGAAUUUAUUCAGAUCGUUGCUAGUCGUCUGCCUUCCAGACGCCUUGCAGCCCUCCCAGCCCAGAGUUACUGUAAUGCACUCUUCAGUCAAUCAUCUGCACUGCUAACGCAAAUUGUGUAUGCCUGGGCACCAGACCCCUUGCAGUCUGGCAGAGAGUAUCCAGAGCCAUAUACUGAGCAUGAGAUGUCUCCUGUGUGUUGUGUACCCACUGCAUGGCCUUCGCCUGCCUCUUGAGGGUGACCAGGAGAUGUGGGAUGAGCAGUCUCUGAGCUUUGGGGAUGCAGCACAUCCUUUCCAUGCAGUGUCAGAGGUUAGCCAUGUUUAGCUAUUUAGAGCUUGGCAGUGAGUAGGAAGGAGGGAGAAAGCAUAAGGGACAGGCGUAUGUUCUCAGAUGCUCCAUAACGAUGUCAUCCGAGGAUGAUUUACAUCGGAGCUGGGACAUAUGGUGUGCUUUAUCACCAGGAUGCGUGCUGACACCUGAUUACAUGCCCACAUUUCUUCUUCUUGGCUUUACACCUCGCUCAUUCCCUGCGGAGGCACCGGGUAUGGGUCCUCAAAGUGGAGCAAUACUGUCCUUGGGUUGUGGGAUGUCUGAAAGGGGGUUCCCUGCAGACAUCUCCUGGCCUUGGUCUGCACUCAUCUUGGCCUCUGGGAGCUUGCUGGGGAGCCAGUGCACCUCUUAGCUCCCAGGUGCUAAAAUCCAUCAGGAUUGGCUCCUGGGAAGGGAAAAAGCCAAGGAUGAGGGUAACUGGGGAAAACUGAUGGCAUUAAACAUGUCAUCAUGUUUACUGUUGGCUAGAAAUGAUUGACGUUUUUCUACAUUGUUCCUACACAUUUGCCUAACUUGUUCUUAAGUGUUUCCAGUGCUGCACUCCUUUACUUCCCAGGCUAAUUCAUACCUGUCCUUAAUUAACCCUGUCAUUAGGGAGGUCUCCUCAAGUGUCACACGCAUGUGCUGCGCUUUGAUCCACCAUAUCACAUCCUACCCAUCAUAGACAAGGAGAACCAUGCACUCCUUUCCCUGAAGGGACAUUCUGCCUCUGAGGUCUGUUGGAAAGGCUCCCCUCUCUUUCUUUUUGCCCGUUUCCUUCAGUUCUUCAUCAUUGGGUUCUGUUUUCAUCAUCUUUCCUUCAACCUAUGGCGCUCUGCCCACUUUGGAUCCUCCCAUGGCACUCCAGCUGAGAUUUCAACAGGGGUGAGCCAUACCAAAGGGCAACUCAGUGUGCUUCACACCCAACCACUGUGUUAAAUCAUCCCAUCUAACAGGAAAGAAAACACUGCUGGCUUUCAUGGCCCUGUUGUAUUGGUGAAGAUGGAUAUGAUGAUGCAGAAGGCCACAGGAUACUGCAGCAUUGGUCGUGCUCUCCUUCCAGGUUGGGAAAAUGAUUUUCCAUAGUGGAAAAAGCAUCUUUCACAAUCCAGAUCUCUUGCAGGAGGGAAUCUGAUUUUGUUGAUAUUUUCAGGCCGACUUGGGUUUUAGCUUGCCUUGUUUUGCAAGGAUGAGAACAUUUUGUGCUGAUGAAAUCGUUCGGCUUAAUUGCAC
RNAcentral lists this long non-coding RNA (2861 nucleotides) under Gallus gallus (chicken). RNAcentral describes it as "lncRNA (ENSGALG00010020384.1)". Lineage: Eukaryota; Metazoa; Chordata; Aves; Galliformes; Phasianidae. The record is from RNAcentral.